GGGCCCGCACAAGCGGUGGAGCAUGUGGUUUAAUUCGAUGAUACGCGAGGAACCUUACCAGGGCUUAAAUGUAGUCUGACAGAUUUGGAAACAGAUUUUUCUUCGGACAGAUUACAAGGUGCUGCAUGGUUGUCGUCAGCUCGUGCCGUGAGGUGUCAGGUUAAGUCCCGCAACGAGCGCAACCCCACGUCUUUAGUUGCCAGCAUUUUAGUUGGGCACUCUAGAGAGACCGCCGGUGACAAACCGGAGGAAGUGUGGAUGACGUCAAGUCAUCAUGCCCCUUACGUCCUGGGGCUACACACGUACUACAAUGCUACGGACAAAGAGCAGCUAACUCGCGAGAGUACGCAAAUCUCAUAAACGUGGCUCAG
This 371-nucleotide ribosomal RNA is filed under the name uncultured bacterium. Its description in RNAcentral is "bacterial SSU rRNA". It matches the Rfam family "Bacterial small subunit ribosomal RNA", at positions 917 to 1291 of the family's 1533-position model. The record is from RNAcentral.